GUGAGUCAUCGAAUCUUUGAACGCACAUUGCGCCCGCCAGCAUUCUGGCGGGCAUGCCUGUUCGAGCGUCAUUUCAACCCUCGCAGCCCAUCUGGGCAGCGGUGUUGGGGACCGGCACCACCGGCGAAGCCCUUAGGGGCCCAGCCGGCGCCGCCCCCGAAAUACAGUGGCGGUCUCGCUGCAGCCUCCCUUGCGUAGUAGCACACCUCGCACCGGAGCGCAGCGCGGCCACGCCGUAAAACCCCCGACUUUCUGAGUUUGACCUCGAAUCAGGUAGGAAUACCCGCUGAACUUAAGCAU
Molecule: unclassified non-coding RNA, 300 nt
Filed under: uncultured Monocillium
Lineage: Eukaryota; Fungi; Ascomycota
Description: sequence contains 5.8S rRNA gene, ITS2
Rfam family: 5.8S ribosomal RNA (bases 1-71)
Source: RNAcentral